RNAcentral lists this ribosomal RNA (425 nucleotides) under uncultured bacterium. Its description in RNAcentral is "bacterial SSU rRNA". It matches the Rfam family "Bacterial small subunit ribosomal RNA", at positions 354 to 796 of the family's 1533-position model. The record is from RNAcentral.
GUGGGGAAUUUUGCGCAAUGGGGGAAACCCUGACGCAGCAACGCCGCGUGGAGGAUGAAGUCCCUUGGGACGUAAACUCCUUUCGAUCGGGACGAUUAUGACGGUACCGGAAGAAGAAGCCCCGGCUAACUUCGUGCCAGCAGCCGCGGUAAUACGAGGGGGGCGAGCGUUGUUCGGAAUUAUUGGGCGUAAAGGGCGCGUAGGCGGUCGGAUAAGUCUCGUGUGAAAUCUUCGGGCUCAACUCGAAGUCUGCACGAGAAACUAUCUGGCUUGAGUGUGGGAGAGGUGAGUGGAAUUCCUGGUGUAGCGGUGAAAUGCGUAGAUAUCAGGAGGAACACCUGUGGCGAAAGCGGCUCACUGGACCACAACUGACGCUGAGGCGCGAAAGCUAGGGGAGCAAACAGGAUUAGAAACCCUGGUAGUCC